Long non-coding RNA from Phragmites australis (common reed), 647 nucleotides. RefSeq lists it as uncharacterized. The record is from RefSeq and is a predicted model, not a curated record. The transcript is spliced from 2 exons. NCBI's taxonomy places the organism in Eukaryota, Viridiplantae, Streptophyta, Magnoliopsida, Poales, Poaceae.
CCGGUUUUCACAAAUUUAAUUUUUCCUUCACGUUAUCCUCUUGCCUCUACCGACGGCCGAGCCUCUCGUCCGCGAGCGGCGGCAGUCCGUCUCUCGUUGCACCAGAGCAGUGGCCGCGGAGCCUCUACGUCCGCACGUCUUCUUGCCUCCCUCGUCCCACCCGAGUGGCGGCGAUGCUGCCUGGCCUCAUCCGUGACCCCACGCCGCUGCAGACGUCCCGCCGUCCUCCAGGACCCCACGCUGCUACAGAAGUUCCACGAUAGCCCACAGAGAUGGAAACCAAGCGAAGAUGGAGGCGAUGGUGGAACAGAACAAAUCAAGCUGCAACUGGUGUGCUUCGGUGGUGGCAUCCCGAUGAUUGAUAAUGGAUAGCUCUUAUUCCGCUGGUUACUUUUGCGUUAAAUGUAAAGACUUCGUCUAGAAACUCUGUCGUUUCUAUGUUAAGUUCUGCAGCUAAUACUAGCGUUAGGUUCUUGAGUAGAGUUUGAGGCUUUGUGGGUAGGGCUGUUCUGUGUAUCAGUUCCUGCCUCCUCACGCCUAAAAAUCAUGUAAUGCUCUGAAUCAUGCGUGCUGGUAACCCCAGCGAACUCGUCUUUUGCUUUCUAAUAAAGCAGAGCCAAAAGCCUUUGGUCUAAUCUUCUCUCAAA